GCGCCGAUAGCUCAGUGGUAGAGCCCCGGUCUCCAAAACCGGUUACCGAGGUUCGAUUCCUCGUCGGCGUG
Molecule: transfer RNA, 71 nt
Filed under: Nocardioides sp. YR527
Lineage: Bacteria; Bacillati; Actinomycetota; Actinomycetes; Propionibacteriales; Nocardioidaceae
Description: tRNA_Trp_CCA
Rfam family: tRNA
About the family: Transfer RNA (tRNA) molecules are approximately 80 nucleotides in length. Their secondary structure includes four short double-helical elements and three loops (D, anti-codon, and T loops). Further hydrogen bonds mediate the characteristic L-shaped molecular structure. tRNAs have two regions of fundamental functional importance: the anti-codon, which is responsible for specific mRNA codon recognition, and the 3' end, to which the tRNAs corresponding amino acid is attached (by aminoacyl-tRNA synthetases). tRNAs cope with the degeneracy of the genetic code in two manners: having more than one tRNA (with a specific anti-codon) for a particular amino acid; and 'wobble' base-pairing, i.e. permitting non-standard base-pairing at the 3rd anti-codon position.
Source: RNAcentral